UAUAAAUACAAUCAUAAGUUUCCGCGCCUAAUUUUAAUCAUCCGUCUUAUUUAAAAUUUUUUUAUAAUUAGUAUUUUUUAUGUUAUUAUGAGAUGAUAAAAUAUGAAUAGUACUUUACUCGUGACUUAUACUUUAAAGUUGGGCGCGAAAAAUCAUGCACUUAGA
This 165-nucleotide microRNA precursor is filed under the name Oryza meridionalis. RNAcentral describes it as "MIR812 microRNA precursor family". It matches the Rfam family "MIR812 microRNA precursor family". The record is from Rfam by way of RNAcentral. Lineage: Eukaryota; Viridiplantae; Streptophyta; Magnoliopsida; Poales; Poaceae.